Molecule: non-coding RNA, 1271 nt
Organism: Pelobates cultripes (western spadefoot toad)
Lineage: Eukaryota; Metazoa; Chordata; Amphibia; Anura; Pelobatidae
Source: the annotation of a GenBank genome assembly
CCAUCUUUUGAAUUCUGCAAUAUAAUCUUCAACAGGUCUAUUCUUUUGAUGUAAUGUUCUGAUGGUUAAAUCAGCAGUAGUUUGUUUAAAAGGAUCUUCAUAUAAUAAAGACAUAGCUUCAAAGAACUCAUCCAAUGAAUCCAAUAUGGGAUCAUCAUUUUCCAAAAAGGAAUGGGCCCAUGCCAUAGGUUCACCUCUUAAAAAAGAGAUCACUGAACAGACUUUGGAUCUUUCGGUGGGAUAAGAUCUAGGUUUUAAAGCAAUUAGUAGUUUGCAAGAAUUCAAAAACUCUCUGUACUUUGUUCUAUCUCCAUAAAAUUUUUCUGGAUUACAGACAGCAGGAUCACCAGCCGAUUGAAGAGCGGCAUGAGGAAGAUGACCUUGAAUGUCUCUAACAUAGGUUAAUAUUCUCUCAUUUGUAAUUUGCAGUUCCUGUAACCCAUGAGCAAUCGUAUCCACUCUAUUGGUUAGGGCAGAAACUUGAGAAUUAAUAUCUGCUGGUUCCAUUGAAGGCUGAAUUAUUCUGUGAUAUAUUCUGUGAUAUAUUCUGUGAUACUUGUUUUAAUUGGAACUCAACUGCAGCAUUUCUUGGUUGCAACAACAAUAAGGUUUACCUCCGUUUAUAUUGGUAUGAAACUAUGGUCACUGUACCUUUAAAUAUUCAUGUAGGUAAAAUUAGGCUUUGUAGCAAUCCCUUAUGAGUAAGAGGAAUAAUUAGACAAAGUGACACUUUAGUAAGUUUUAGAUACUGUGUAAUAUAAAUAAUAGUAAUUGACUUGUUUGGUAAAAGUAUUACUUAACUUAAAGGCAGUUCUGGCACUGGAAGGGUUAAUUCACCCAAUGAAGGAGAAAUUAGAAGUCCGUUUCAACAAGCUGAGAACUAGGAGUGGAGAGUGGGGAAGUCCGUUUUAACAAGCCAAGGUCUGGGAGUGGAGAAGGUAGAAUUCAGAGUUACAAGCCGAGGUCUAGGAGUGGAGAAGGUAGAAAUCCGUUUACAAGCCGAGGUCGAGAAGUGGAGAAGGUAGAAAUCCGUUUACAAGCCGAGGUCGAGAAGUGGAGAAGGUAGAAAUCCGUUUACUAGCCGAGGUAUAGAAGUGGAGCAGCUGAUCUUCAUGCAGCACCUCUGCGAAUAAUUCAGCCCUUUGAAUCUGGCGCGGUCCUCCUAAGUAUCGUGGAGGGACCGCGUCAGAGAAAGGGGCGGGGCUGAACGCCGUGAACCCGGAAGUGGGUUCCGGCGAAAAAUAACAUGCCAUGCUAUACCUGACACCCAG